UCUUGGCCAGGCUCAUGUCUCAUGCCCAAGAACAUGAAGGACACGGACCAGGAGGAAUGCGUUUAGGAGGUUUUUUUAAGCGAUAGGAAAGCUCCCUGCAACAGGAAGGGAGCCCAAACAGGUUGCAGAGCUGUGAAAGCAAACCGCGCCGCUGCAGCCACGGGCCGAGGUAUCCACAUGCCGAGUGCCAGUUCGAUCCCUGCCGGCCGGCGAGAAUCCCAUAUGGCUCAGCAGACAUCUCCGGUCUCACCCGCUCCUCCCCUCAGCAGUGUAUUUCAUCAGUCUGCCUGUUCUGUUCCCUGCUGUGUCUCUGGUGAAUCCUCUUACCCUCUCGUGCAUCUGGCCUGUA
Long non-coding RNA from Talpa occidentalis (Iberian mole), 349 nucleotides. RefSeq lists it as uncharacterized. The record is from RefSeq and is a predicted model, not a curated record. NCBI's taxonomy places the organism in Eukaryota, Metazoa, Chordata, Mammalia, Eulipotyphla, Talpidae. The transcript has 3 exons.